ACUUUACGGAUCACACUAUGUGACAUAUCAUUCAAGUUUCUGACCUAUCAGCUUUAGACGGUAGGGUAUUGGCCUACCGUGGCUAUGACGGGUAACGGGGAAUUAGGGUUCGAUUCCGGAGAGGGAGCCUGAGAAACGGCUACCACAUCUAAGGAAGGCAGCAGGCGCGCAAAUUACCCAAUCCUAAUACAGGGAGGUAGUGACAAGAAAUAACAAUACAGAGCCUUACGGUUUUGUAAUUGGAAUGAGUUAAGUAUAAACCCCUUAACAAGUAUCAAUUGGAGGGCAAGUCUGGUGCCAGCAGCCGCGGUAAUUCCAGCUCCAAUAGCGUAUAUUAAAGUUGUUGCAGUUAAAAAGCUCGUAGUUAAUUUUCUGUUAAUUUUUAUAUACAAUGCUACGGUAUUUAUAUAAUAUUAACAUAAUUCAUAUUACUUUUUAAGUAUAUGAAACUUUACUUUGAGAAAAUUAGAGUGCUUAAAGCAGGCUAUUGCCUUGAAUACUCCAGCAUGGAAUAAUAUUAAGGAUUUUUAUUCUUCUUAUUGGUUCUAGAAUAAAAAUAAUGAUUAAUAGGGACAGUUGGGGGCAUUUGUAUUUAACAGUCAGAGGUGAAAUUCUUAGAUUUGUUAAAGACAAACUACUGCGAAAGCAUUUGCCAAGGAUGUUUUCAUUAAUCAAGAACGAAAGUUAGGGGAUCGAAGACGAUCAGAUACCGUCGUAGUCU
RNAcentral lists this ribosomal RNA (721 nucleotides) under Cryptosporidium ryanae. Its description in RNAcentral is "SSU rRNA". It matches the Rfam family "Eukaryotic small subunit ribosomal RNA", at positions 259 to 1026 of the family's 1831-position model. The record is from RNAcentral. Lineage: Eukaryota; Apicomplexa; Conoidasida; Eucoccidiorida; Cryptosporidiidae.